Tetranychus urticae (two-spotted spider mite) is the source of this 2357-nucleotide ribosomal RNA. It matches the Rfam family "Eukaryotic large subunit ribosomal RNA", at positions 24 to 1888 of the family's 3401-position model. The record is from Rfam. NCBI's taxonomy places the organism in Eukaryota, Metazoa, Arthropoda, Arachnida, Trombidiformes, Tetranychidae.
CCCGCCGAAUUUAAGCAUAUAAUUCAGCGGAGGAAAAGAAAUCAAAUGAGAUUCCCUGAGUAACGGCGAGUGAAAAGGGAUGAGUCCGGCGCAAAGGUUUUCCAUUGAAAGGUGGAAAGCGGUGCUGCGUAAUGGCUAGAGUCACGAUUAUUUCAACUAAAUCUGCAAGUCCCUCUGACAAGGGCCCUCUUCCCAGAGACGGUUCUAGGCCGGUGGCAGAUCUUGGUUAAUGGAAUAUCGAUUACUGGCUUUAGUCGCGGAUAGAGUCAGAUUGCUUGAGAGUGCAAUCCAAAUUAGGAGGUAAACUCCUCCUAAGACUAAAUACGAUGGUAAUAUCGAUAGCAAACAAGUACCGUGAGGGAAAGUUGCAAAGUACUUUGAAGAGAGAGUUCAAAAGGACGUGAAACCGCUUGUAGAGAAACGGAUAGAACCACGAAGUGUAGCUGAGAGGAGAACUCAGCUCCUCUUGUGUAUUGUUGCCUUUUUCUAUUCAGUGCUAAGAAUGCUUUACAGCGUUCCAAGAUCAGUAGGUUAAGGGGUAACUUUUAGCCUGCCCUUGGAUCUUGGUAUUGAUAGGAGGAGUGCAAUAUGUGCAUGAGGAGUGCAUUUUCUCAACUCUCGUGCUCAAACCACGACCAAUGUGAAGGAGAGUGCAAAACUCUUGUUCAAGUGAUAACAGCAAGGUGUACUAAACACACACCUAAUCAGCAUUUAGUUUUCACAGCUACUAAUAUUCCUUGCGUUGUUAGACUUAGCCUGUGAGCUAGUGUUGGCAACUGUUACCACAGUCACAUUGGAGAUGAAUCUCUGCUUAUGCAGGGUCAACAAUGCUUGUCAUCUGCUCUGACGAAUCCGACUAGUCUUUCGUUGAUGAUGUCUGUUUCUUCACCUGGUGUUGAAACAACUCAUGGAUUGGCUGGCUUUUGGUGGUUUGUUGGUAAAAGUGGCAAGCUUACGUUAACCUAGUGAUUCUGUGGUCAGUAGAUCGGUACUCUAUCCGACCCGUCUUGAAACACGGACCAAGGAGUCUAACAUGUAUGCAAGCUGAUCAGUCUUGUUUAGGCUUGAAAGGCGAAUUGAAAGAAAUUGAUAUGAUGUAUGCUUGUAAGAGUAUACCGCAAUAUCAGCCCGUGAUAUAUCCACUUUACCGAGAUUUUCGCGGAGCACUAGUAUAUAUGUUAGUACCCGAAAGAUGGUGAACUAAGCCCGGACAAGAUGAAGCCAGAGGAAACUCUGGUGGACAAGAUGAAGCCAGAGGAAACUCUGGUGGAGGUCUGUAGCGAUUCUGACGUGCAAAUCGAUCGUCAGAUCCGGGUUUAGGGGCGAAAGACUAAUCGAACCGUCUAGUAGCUGGUUUCUUCCGAAGUUUCCCUCAGGAUAGCUGGCACCAAUGGAAGUACCAGUAGCAUCCGGUAGAGCGAAUGAUUAGAGGUCUUGGGGCCGAAAUGGCCUCAACCUAUUCUCAAACUCCUAAUGGGUGCGAAGUUCAACUUGUUAAACUUUUAAAGCUGAACAUACUUUGUAUGAUGGUGCCCAGUGGGCCAUUUUUGGUAAGCAGAACUGGCGCUGUGGGAUGAACCAAACGUUAGGUUAAGGUGCCCGAUGCUGACGCUAAUGAGAUCCCAUGAAAGGUGUUGGUUGCUAAAGACAGCAGGACGGUGGCCAUGGAAGUUGGAAUCCGCUAAGGAGUGUGUAACAACUCACCUGCCGAAGCAACUAGCCCUGAAAAUGGAUGGCGCUCAAGCGUUGAACCUAUACCUAACCGUUAAGGCAAUCAUAUAUAUUAUUUAUCAUGAUAUAAGCUUUAACGAGUAGGAAGAAUGUAGUGAUAGCGUCGAAGGUGUCUGACGUAAGUCAGCCUGGAGCUUUCACUAUUACAGAUCUUGGUGGUAGUAGCAAAUACUCAAGUGAGACCCUUGAGGACCAAUGUGGAGAAGGGUUCCAUGUGAACAGUAGUUGAACAUGGGUCAGUCGGUCCUAAGCGAUGGGGAGAAAUCCCUAACCAAAGUCCCAGAUACAAUUAUCAAGUUGACUGUGGUGUUUCGCGAAAGGGAAUCGGGUUAAUAUUCCCGAACCUGGCGUGGGAGAUUGCUUCUUCGGAAGUAAAUGCGGUAACGCAAACUAACAUGGAGAUGUUUCCAAAAGUCCUGGGAAGAGUUGUCUUUUCUUUGUAAGGUACCAAGUCCCUGGAAUCGGUUUAACCGGAGAUAGGGAUUCCGGUACCGUAAAGCACCGCGGCUCUUGCGGUGUCCAGUGCACUUUUGGAAACCCUUGAAAAUCUAUGUUAGAGAUUAUAACUUUCCCGCCAGACCGUACCCAUAUCCGCAGCAGGUCUCCAAGGUGAACAGCCUCUGGUC